Molecule: ribosomal RNA, 509 nt
Filed under: uncultured bacterium
Lineage: Bacteria
Description: bacterial SSU rRNA
Rfam family: Bacterial small subunit ribosomal RNA
Source: RNAcentral
CAGGUCUUGACAUCCUCUGACACUCCUAGAGAUAGGACUUUCCCCUUCGGGGGACAGAGUGACAGGUGGUGCAUGGUUGUCGUCAGCUCGUGUCGUGAGAUGUUGGGCUAAGUCCCGCAACGAGCGCAACCCUUGAUCCUAGUUGCCAGCAUUCAGUUGGGCACUCUAAGGUGACUGCCGGUGACAAACCGGAGGAAGGUGGGGAUGACGUCAAAUCAUCAUGCCCCUUAUGACCUGGGCUACACACGUGCUACAAUGGGUGGUACAAAGGGCAGCCGAGCCGCGAGGCUUUAGCUAAUCCCAUAAAACCACUCUCAGUUCGGAUUGCAGGCUGCAACUCGCCUGCAUGAAGCUGGAAUCGCUAGUAAUCGCGGAUCAGCAUGCCGCGGUGAAUACGUUCCCGGGCCUUGUACACACCGCCCGUCACACCACGAGAGUUUGUAACACCCGAAGUCGGUGGGGUAACCGUAAGGAACCAGCCGCCUAAGGUGGGACAGAUGAUUGGGGUG